UGGGAUAAGCUGUUUCCAAUUGAAUAUCUAGGCUUAGUUUAGUAUUGAGGUUUAUUUGAUGCUGUUAGAUAAAAUUGAGUUAGAAAAAAAAUAUAUAGGAAUAUGUUUCUACGUUCUCCGAUUGGACCGCAGAAUAUAUAUUAUAGUCGAUUUAUUGCAAUAUGCGAAACACAAUAUUACGUACCGAAACAAAUAUGAUAUUUUUCCAUCGUUUAUUUCGCGAAGCCCUGCUAUAACUAAUCCUACCCCACAACCAAU
This 258-nucleotide long non-coding RNA is filed under the name Ananas comosus (pineapple). RNAcentral describes it as "long non-coding RNA (ACOM_LNC042810)". The record is from RNAcentral. Lineage: Eukaryota; Viridiplantae; Streptophyta; Magnoliopsida; Poales; Bromeliaceae.